Molecule: transfer RNA, 17 nt
Filed under: Zizia aurea (golden alexanders)
Lineage: Eukaryota; Viridiplantae; Streptophyta; Magnoliopsida; Apiales; Apiaceae
Also listed under: 22 other names
Description: partial tRNA-Thr
Source: RNAcentral
CUCUGAGCUAAGCAGGC